Salvelinus sp. IW2-2015 is the source of this 777-nucleotide non-coding RNA. The record is from RefSeq and is a predicted model, not a curated record. NCBI's taxonomy places the organism in Eukaryota, Metazoa, Chordata, Actinopteri, Salmoniformes, Salmonidae.
UUGUGUGUGAAUGUGCAUUUGUGUGAGCAGUGACCUUCUGUCAUCUGUCUAUGUGCUGUGACUGACAUCUAUUCUCUAUGUUAAAUUGUAUAACCACGCCAUUGGUGUGUUGUGUGUGUGGUGUGUUGUUUGUGUGUGGGAGAAGGUGAAAACCUGAGUGUUUGUCCUUGACCAAGCUCUGAUUGGAGAGCCUCAUGCAUCUGUUCAGACAUUUUAGUGUUGUGACUAAGGAGUACUGGGAUGUACUGAGUCGGAUCACAGCAGUGGUGGAGAAGCAUAAGAAGGGUUUGGUACCAGGUGUGCCCCAGCUCAAUAUGUGUGACAUGGCUGUCAUGAACAGGCACCUCCAGGAUGUGAAAAGUUAGGAAAUGCCUUAAAGCACCCAAGUCACAGCCGUGGAAGUGUGACUGGCCGCAUUAGCUAUCUGUUUCAGCGCCACCCUGGGAAGAGGGAGGAUGUCAGCGAAGAUGCUGCCUUGAUGAAGAGCAAUUUUCAGGAAUUCAACUUGAAUUUCUAUUCGUUUUUAACUUGUAAUGUUGAAACAGAACAACAUAUGGUUUGAAUGAAGGACAUUAACAAUGGGACGAAUGCUGUCUGUGUACCAUAUGAUUAUUAAUAGAAUGAAGCUGAUUUGCAACUGCUUUUUUUAUGAUGCCAUCUCUGUAUAUGUUUUCUCUCUCUUUACUUACUUAUGCACUAUUGUGGAAGACAUUGAAAUAGGGCAACAACAACAACAACAAGCUGUUUUAACUAGAAUAAAACAAUGUUUCAUUUUUA